Molecule: ribosomal RNA, 497 nt
Filed under: uncultured bacterium
Lineage: Bacteria
Description: partial 16S ribosomal RNA
Rfam family: Bacterial small subunit ribosomal RNA
Source: RNAcentral
GAUGAACGCUGGCGGCGUGCCUAAUACAUGCAAGUCGAGCGAACAGACGAGGAGCUUGCUCCUCUGACGUUAGCGGCGGACGGGUGAGUAACACGUGGAUAACCUACCUAUAAGACUGGGAUAACUUCGGGAAACCGGAGCUAAUACCGGAUAACAUGUUGAACCGCAUGGUUCAACAGUGAAAGACGGUUUUGCUGUCACUUAUAGAUGGAUCCGCGUCGCAUUAGCUAGUUGGUAAGGUAACGGCUUACCAAGGCAACGAUGCGUAGCCGACCUGAGAGGAUGAUCGGCCACACUGGAACUGAGACACGGUCCAGACUCCUACGGGAGGCAGCAGUAGGGAAUCUUCCGCAAUGGGCGAAAGCCUGACGGAGCAACGCCGCGUGAGUGAAGAAGGUCUUCGGAUCGUAAAACUCUGUUAUUAGGGAAGAACAAAUGUGUAAGUAACUAUGCACGUCUUGACGGUACCUAAUCAGAAAGCCACGGCUAACUACGUG